Tetranychus urticae (two-spotted spider mite) is the source of this 2376-nucleotide RNA transcript. It is a transcript of the gene named catenin beta-1 pseudogene, with no coding region annotated. NCBI's taxonomy places the organism in Eukaryota, Metazoa, Arthropoda, Arachnida, Trombidiformes, Tetranychidae. The record is from RefSeq and is a predicted model, not a curated record.
AUACUAGGGUCCAUCUUUUCUUUUUAUUAACUUUCAAAGUUGAAAUAACUUAUUUUUUUGUGGAUUGAGUUGUUUUUUAUUGACUAUUAGUGACUAAUUCAGCAUCUGAAGGAUUUUUUAUACUUAUCGGCAAUGACCACGGUUGAAUUGAAUCGAUCCGAGAGGAUCAGAGCUGCCCUUUUUGAUGACGAAGCAAGUGAUAUUUUAUACCAGACUUGUAUUGAUUCAAAAUCACAAACUUGUGUCUUAAGACUUUCGGAACCAGCCCAGAUGAUCAAAUUAGCUAUUGAAGCUCUUAUAAAUUACCAAAAUGACGCAGAUUUAGCAACUAGUGCUGUUCCAGAGUUGCUUAAACUUCUGAAUGAUGAAGAUGAGGUUGUUGUGAGUAAAGCAACUCUUAUGGUUCAUCACUUGAGUCAAAAAGUAGCAUCUCGACAUGCACUUAUUAACUCGCCACAAAUGGUAUCUGCCUUAUUGAGAGCUAUGUCAAAUUCUGAAGCUGAAACAACAACAUGUGCUGCCAGUAUUUUGCAUAAUUUGUCACAACACCAGCAAGGAUUACUCGCCAUUUUCAAAUCUGAUGGAAUAUCAACAUUAAUUAAACUACUUUCAUCCCCAAUAAAUCGAGUUGUGUUUUAUGCUCUAACUACUAUUUACAACUUGCUGCUUCAUCAAGAAGGCUCUAAGACGGCUGUCAGAUUGGCUGGAGGAAUCCAAAAAAUGGUUUCUUUAUUGACCCAUCCUAAUCCUAAAUUCCUGGCACUUUUAACCGAGUGUUUGACAUUAUUGGCAUUUGGAAAUCAAGAAGCUAAAUUGAUAAUUUUAGCUUCAGAUGGAGUACAAGAGAUAAUAAAUAUCAUGUUGGUGCACAAAUAUGAAAAGUUAUUAUGGACCGCAUCACGACUGUUGAAAGUUUUAUCUGUUUGUCCAAGUAAUAAACAUGCAAUCAUCUCAACUGGUGGAAUAUAUGCACUUUCUAUGCACUUGGAUCAUCCAAGUUCUCGUUUACGAUUGAGUUGCCUUUGGACUCUCAGAAACUUAUCUGACGCUGCUACUACGAUUCCGAAUCUCGACCAUCUUCUUCAAUCACUUGUUAAAUUUUUGAAUGAUGAAGAUUUGAAUGUGGUUAUGUGUUGUUUGGGAAUUCUUUCUAAUUUAACAUGUAACAAUAGACACAAUAAGCUAUUGAUCUGUCAGCUUGGAGGUAUUGAAAGAUUAGUUUUAACAAUGAAGCAAACAAGAGAUCAGGAAGAGAUCCUUGAACCUGUUAUUUGUUGUUUAAAACAUUUAACUCACCAACAUGAUGAAGCAGAAAUAGCUCAAAACGACGUCCGUCUCCAUGAUGGUAUUACUUAUAUUGUUAAUCUUCUCAGUCUUCCUAUUGGUUGGCCUUUAAUUAAAGCAAUCAUUGGUUUGAUUGCAAAUUUGUCUCUCUGUCCAGCAAAUCAGGCUCCUUUGCGCGAAUCACAAGUUUUGCAAAAGUUGAACCAACUUUUAGCUAAAGCACAACAAGAAAGGGCUAACAUGAAUUCUUCUACAGCUUAUAUGGAAGGCGUUAAGAUGUCUGAUAUCAUUGAAGUAUCCAUGGAAGCAUUUAAAAUCUUAGCUCGAGAUGUUCAUAAUAGAGCAAUCAUCAUCGAAAUGAAUCUGAUACCUACUUUUGUUCAAUUCUUGUAUUGUGACGAAGAGAAUCUUCAACAAGCAUCUGUUGGUGUGCUUAGUGAAUUGGCCCUUGAAAAAAGAGCUGUCGAUAUUAUUGAAGCUGAAGGUGCUACUGCGGCUCUUACUGAACUUCUCCAUUCAAGAAAUGAGAUAAUUGCUACAUUCGCUGCUGCUGUUUUGUAUCGUAUGUCUGAGGAUAAACCACAAGAUUAUAAGAAACGACUCUCUUUGGAAUUGAGUGCAACUUUAUUCCGCGAUGAACCUAGUAAUUGGGCAACAUCAGCUGGCGAAACUGAUAUGCCGCAUGCAGAAUCUCAUUAUGGCUCGUUGGCUGCUCCAUUGAAUCCAUAUCCUCAAUCUAUUUAUGUUCAAACCACAUCGGACAUGGAUGUCAAUAAUCCUUACUCAUCUCCCUACUAUCAUGAAAGUCCAACUCAAGUUGCCAAUCAAGAUCAAUAUUCGGCCUGGUACGACACAGAUCUAUGAUAUGAUUGGAUCAGGUGAUGGUGAUUUAAAUACAAUCAGUUUAACGACAUUUUAAAAUAUUUAUGCAAUAAUGAAUCGUGAAUUUCUACCCUUGUUUUUCAACCUUAUUGAUUAUUAUUGGAUAAAUGUUUGCUCAAUACAACUUGCACUUUUUCUUAAAGGAUUAAUAAAGCCUAAUGAAUUUAUGCAAAAAAUUUCAAUAGCAUAAAUCUCACUGUUUAUCAUUCA